This is a long non-coding RNA of Platichthys flesus (European flounder), 1672 nucleotides long. RefSeq lists it as uncharacterized. NCBI's taxonomy places the organism in Eukaryota, Metazoa, Chordata, Actinopteri, Pleuronectiformes, Pleuronectidae. The record is from RefSeq and is a predicted model, not a curated record. The transcript is spliced from 3 exons.
AUUCCGACUCCUCAGUGUCUGUCCUCGGUGACAUGUACACUAGCCCUUUGGGGAAACAUGUAAAAGACAGAGACUUGACUGCUCACCAGCUAAACCGAGCCAUUGCUUGGCAUUGCCUCAUUAUUGCACAAACUUCUGCUCUGCACCAUCAUGCUUCAUGUCCGGCUGAGUGUUGCUCUGAGUUCUGCAGUCUUCUUCAUAUCUCCAGGCUGAGGUGCAUAUAUAGCUCGGAGCUGCCCCGAGGCACAGCUCAGCAGGACCCAGACCAGCGUGACUGACAGUAGAAAAGCAAAAACUCACAUGGACAUCUCUCCCUGAUGCUGGCCUUCUACUGCCCACAGUUACGUGUACCUGUGGUAGAUCAAUGCUGUGUUGUCCCCCCUUAUUAAGUUACUGUGGGAUGAUACAAGUCAGCUCAUGGGCUGCUGAUUAAAUUUAGCAACAUAGUUUGCAAAAUAACUUCAUCUAACUGGCACUGUAUCUGUUUAUCUGUGAGUUAUCUCUAUUAAAAGGUUCUGCAUGUGAAUGUUCAGAAUCUGUGGCCGGGUUUGGGGCUGUCUCUGGUUUCUAUUUGUAGUUCACACACUGAUAACAUUACAGCAGGCCUUGCUGUCCUCCGGGUCGAGCAUCGGUAGAGCAUUGAACAAAAUACCUGGUAGUUUGGCAGAGUGCCAUGAUUAAUGUACUAUGAAUAAAGCCAAGAAAUGCUUGAUUUCACUCAUAAGCAUAUCGAGCAAUCUGUUUGUCUAUUUGUUAAGUGUGUUUAGUCAAUUAUGAAAUCCAUCCAGCCAUCCAGCCAAAGUCUCCAAUCAACCUAAUCCCAAUCUGUUUUUGGACUGUGGGAGGAAGUCGAGGUACGUCAAUAAUUAAAUUACAAAAAUAUAUAUCAGGAAUAAGAGUGCAAAAUAAAAACAUCAGGUUGGGCAUUCAUUGCUAAGAUAAGACAUGUAAGCCCUGAUCAAAUCAAUCAUGUCGCAUGUCAGAAAAAGUCGAAAAUGGAAAUAAGAGAAGUGUUGGCAGGAAAUGGGCAGAACAUUUGAGCUGGAAUUAACUAUGAGGAAAAGAGAAGAACAAGAGAAGGGAGAGCCCGAGUCAGUUCGGGAGGCAAAGAGAGGAAGGACAAACCAGAAGAAAGACAGAAAAGGGGAGGACUAAAGAAAGGUGGAGAGGAUGCUGUUGUUUUCAGUGAGGCCUAAUUGAUAAAGUGACCUCGGGCAGUGCUGGCAGUGCUGGUGGAGUCAAGGAGAGAACUAACUGCAUGGCUCCGUUAAAAUACCUCUGUCUCCUCAUUCAGGAGCCAAGUGUCAAAACUGCUGUUGAUUAAUACAUGAGGAAACCAAACACAUCUGUGUGUUUGUGUGUGUCUUUGAGAGAGAGAGAGAGAGAGAGAGAGAGAGAGAGAGAGAGAGAGAGAGAGAGAGAGAGAGAGAGAGAGAGAGAGAGAGAGAGAGAGAGAGAGAGAGAGAGAGAGAGAGAGAGAGAGAGUGUUAGAAGUGGAAGUGUUGUAUUCACCCUGCAUUUGUUCUCCAUCCCAUCAUGGCUGCACCUUAGUUUGACUGAGUGAGCGCACACACACACACACACACACACAAGCAGACAGACAAUCCCUGCCUGGCAAGUCAUUUGCAUCCUGUGUUUUUUAUUCAUGGGGCUCUUUUAUUCAUAGGCUUUA